CCUACGGGGGGCUGCAGUGAGGAAUAUUGGUCAAUGGGCUUACGCCUGAACCAGCCAAGUCGCGUGAGGGAAGACUGCCCUAUGGGUUGUAAACCUCUUUUGUCAGGGAGCAACGCCGGCUACGUGUAGCCGGACUGAGAGUACCUGCAGAAAAAGCAUCGGCUAACUCCGUGCCAGCAGCCGCGGUAAUACGGAGUAUGCGAGCGUUAUCCGGAUUUAUUGGGUUUAAAGGGUGCGUAGGCGGAAUGCCAAGUCAGCGGUAAAAUCGCGGGGCUCAACCUCGCUCCGACGUUGAAACUGGCGUUCUGGAGUGGGCGAGAAGUAUGAGGAAUGCGUGGUGUAGCGGUGAAAUGCAUAGAUAUCACGCAGAACUCCGAUUGCGAAGGCAGUAUACCGGCGCCCAACUGACGCUGAAGCACGAAAGCGUGGGUAUCGAACAGGAUUAGAUACCCUUGUAGUC
Molecule: ribosomal RNA, 460 nt
Filed under: uncultured bacterium
Lineage: Bacteria
Description: partial 16S ribosomal RNA
Rfam family: Bacterial small subunit ribosomal RNA
Source: RNAcentral